UAGUUCGUGGAGUGAUCUGUCUGCUUAAUUGCGUUUCACUAAGGGCUCAUAAUUAAUUGUAUGUUUCGUUUGCACUCUUUGACCCCUCUUCACGGAGCGUGUGUCUUAGAAAUUGCAGCGUGCGUACUUUUGGGUCCUGAAAGCAACGAACGUGACCGCAACCUCUUGUUGCCUUUAUUACCAAACGCAAUCUUUUAGACUUCGGUCUAAUUGUUGCAAAAAAAGGCUUUCUAAACUAGAGGGACCGCUGUUACUUUCUUAAACCAGAGGAAGGUUGCGGCAAUAACAGGUCUGUGAUGCCCUUAGAUGUUCCGGGCUGCACACGUGCUACAAUGAUCAGUACAGUGAGCAUCUCAUUUUUUAUACACCGCAUGCGCGAGUCCAUUUAUUCACCUUCUGGGUGCUUUAAAUGUGUAUCUCUGCGCGCGGUAAAGCCUGCUUCGAAAGUAAGUGGGUAAUCAAUUAGAAGUAAUGAUUUCCUUUUUAGCACACAUAUAUACGGCAUUUAUGCCCGGGCUGCCUUGUUGUAGCUUUUGUGCGCAUAAGUGUUUUUUCCGUAUGUGCGAUUGUCAAUUCA
RNAcentral lists this ribosomal RNA (577 nucleotides) under Globorotaloides hexagonus. RNAcentral's name for it is "SSU rRNA". The stretch from base 1 to 461 matches the Rfam family "Eukaryotic small subunit ribosomal RNA", at positions 1295 to 1606 of the family's 1831-position model. The record is from RNAcentral. Lineage: Eukaryota; Foraminifera; Rotaliida; Globigerinidae.